RNAcentral lists this ribosomal RNA (619 nucleotides) under Colletotrichum boninense. RNAcentral's name for it is "LSU rRNA". It matches the Rfam family "Eukaryotic large subunit ribosomal RNA", at positions 45 to 688 of the family's 3401-position model. The record is from RNAcentral. Lineage: Eukaryota; Fungi; Ascomycota; Sordariomycetes; Glomerellales; Glomerellaceae.
AAUAAGCGGAGGAAAAGAAGCCAACAGGGAUUGCCCCAGUAACGGCGAGUGAAGCGGCAACAGCUCAAAUUUGAAAUCUGGCCCCAGGCCCGAGUUGUAAUUUGCAGAGGAUGCUUUUGGCGCGGUGCCUUCCGAGUUCCCUGGAACGGGACGCCAUAGAGGGUGAGAGCCCCGUACGGUUGGACACCAAGUCUUUGUAAAGCUCCUUCGACGAGUCGAGUAGUUUGGGAAUGCUGCUCAAAAUGGGAGGUAUAUUUCUUCUAAAGCUAAAUAUUGGCCAGAGACCGAUAGCGCACAAGUAGAGUGAUCGAAAGAUGAAAAGCACUUUGAAAAGAGGGUUAAACAGCACGUGAAAUUGUUAAAAGGGAAGCGCUUAUGACCAGACUUGCGCCCGGUGAAUCACCCAGCUCUCGCGGCUGGGGCACUUUGCCGGCUCAGGCCAGCAUCAGCUCGCUGUCGGGGACAAAAGCUUCGGGAACGUAGCUCUCUUCGGGGAGUGUUAUAGCCCGUUGCACAAUACCCUUCGGCGGGCUGAGGUACGCGCUCCGCAAGGAUGCUGGCGUAAUGGUCAUCAGCGACCCGUCUUGAAACACGGACCAAGGAGUCAACCUUAUGUGCG